RNAcentral lists this long non-coding RNA (556 nucleotides) under Elaeis guineensis (African oil palm). RNAcentral describes it as "long non-coding RNA (EGUI_LNC046899)". Lineage: Eukaryota; Viridiplantae; Streptophyta; Magnoliopsida; Arecales; Arecaceae. The record is from RNAcentral.
AUACUAAGUGACAAGUGUAGGUGAUUGUUAGAGAACAACUAGAACUAAGCAUGACCAUAUGAGAGAUCACAUGAAUUUUUACUCAAUCGUCAGUGAUUAUCUCGAUGCUGUAGUUAUGUGAAUGAUCUUUUGAUCUGUGAUGGUAUGGCUACUCAUAGUGUGACUACUAAAAUUUGACUGACAUAUAAACAUGGCCUUUUUGAGUCGUUGUAGUGGAUAUUGGCGAUAAUUAGUCCACUAUAAUAGUAGGAUGUGCAUCUAGAUGGAUCUAUCGAUCUUGAUAGAAAGAAGUAGUCCUAUGAGAUUUAAGAAGCUAAGUCCAUAAGUUUGUGGCCACAGUAAUAUGAUUGAUAGAAAAGAGUUUUCAUGAGAAUCACAAUUGAACUUGAGCUAAUCAAAUCUAUCAUAUGACUGAUGAUGAGGUUUGACGAUUUAUUUAUAACCUGCCAUCUAGUUGGGACUCACGAUAGAGGGACUAAAUCACAUGAAAACUAUACCUUAAGGUUCUAUUUUGAUUCUAUUGGAUUAUCACUAUAUACUGCUAGGUAUUGCUAGA